AGUGAACGCUGGCGGUAGGCCUAACACAUGCAAGUCGAACGGCAGCACAGUAAGAGCUUGCUCUUACGGGUGGCGAGUGGCGGACGGGUGAGGAAUACAUCGGAAUCUACUUUUUCGUGGGGGAUAACGUAGGGAAACUUACGCUAAUACCGCAUACGACCUACGGGUGAAAGCAGGGGAUCUUCGGACCUUGCGCGAUUGAAUGAGCCGAUGUCGGAUUAGCUAGUUGGCGGGGUAAAGGCCCACCAAGGCGACGAUCCGUAGCUGGUCUGAGAGGAUGAACAGCCACACUGGAACUGAGACACGGUCCAGACUCCUACGGGAGGCAGGAGUGGGGAAUAUUUGACAAUUGGCGCAAGCCUGAUCCAAGCAUACCGCGUGGGUUGAGGAGGCCUUCCGGUUGUAAAGCCCUUUUUUUGGGAAAGAAAAGCAGCAGGUUAAUACCCCGCUGGUCUGACGGGAACCAAAGAAUAAGCACCGGCUAACUUCGUG
Molecule: ribosomal RNA, 492 nt
Filed under: uncultured bacterium
Lineage: Bacteria
Description: partial 16S ribosomal RNA
Rfam family: Bacterial small subunit ribosomal RNA
Source: RNAcentral